AGAAACUAGUUCCCGUACGAUCACCGAAGUUAAGCAACGUAGAGCGUGGUCAGUACCUAGAUGGGUUACCGGUUGAGAAUACCAGGUGCUGUAG
This is a non-coding RNA of Acanthosepion pharaonis, 94 nucleotides long. Lineage: Eukaryota; Metazoa; Mollusca; Cephalopoda; Sepiida; Sepiidae. The record is from the annotation of a GenBank genome assembly.